AGUGAACGCUGGCGGUAGGCCUAACACAUGCCAGUCGAACGGCAGCACAGUAAGAGCUUGCUCUUACGGGUGGCGAGUGGCGGACGGGUGAGGAAUACAUCGGAAUCUACUUUUUCGUGGGGGAUAACGUAGGGAAACUUACGCUAAUACCGCAUACGACCUACGGGUGAAAGCAGGGGAUCUUCGGACCUUGCGCGAUUGAAUGAGCCGAUGUCGGAUUAGCUAGUUGGCGGGGUAAAGGCCCACCAAGGCGACGAUCCGUAGCUGGUCUGAGAGGAUGAUUAGCCACACUGGAACUGAGACACGGUCCAGACUCCUACGGGAGGCAGCAGUGGGGAAUAUUGGACAAUGGGCGCAAGCCUGAUCCAGCCAUACCGCGUGGGUGAAGAAGGCCUUCGGGUUGUAAAGCCCUUUUGUUGGGAAAGAAAAGCAGCAGGUUAAUACCCCGCUGUUCUGACGGUACCCAAAGAAUAAGCACCGGCUAACUUCGUG
Molecule: ribosomal RNA, 492 nt
Filed under: uncultured bacterium
Lineage: Bacteria
Description: partial 16S ribosomal RNA
Rfam family: Bacterial small subunit ribosomal RNA
Source: RNAcentral